ACCGUAUGACGCCGGUUGCUCGAACGCCGGAAUCGUUGAUACUGACAACGACAGUCAGUUCACGUUUUCUACUCAUCGCAUCGUUCGUAGAUUGAAUAUCUUGGCAAUCAGGCUGCAUGAGGUACCCAUAAUGCUGAAAUAGGUCAUCUUUGUCAAGCGUUCGUGUCCGCGUCCCGAAAAGGCCAACCUAAGAAGACAAACCGAACAUGCAGUGCGGAAAUAAUUGAAAACACAACAUCGUGUUACGCGAUCUAUGGAUACCAACAGGAAGUUACGACUUUCCCAAAUGUUAUUGUGUGUGAGCUAGGUAGCUAACGUGUUCUGGCGGAAGAUCGAUGUGAUACGGGAUUGCAAAGGGCUUAUCCUCUUUAAAACAACCCUGCAAAUAGGAUUACCAAAAUGCCUUCGAACUAUGUAGCACCAACCUAAGUUCUCAUGGUGCCAAACAAGUUAACUUCAAAAAAGUCUCUGGUUUACCAAAUGCACGGCGGACGCUUUAUAGAGCAUUAACAAUAAUCAUCGAAAGUGUGUUAUAUUUUACUUGUUUCACGAAAAAGGUGUAAGGAAAUACAGAUUAAAUU
Molecule: long non-coding RNA, 581 nt
Organism: Varroa destructor (honeybee mite)
Lineage: Eukaryota; Metazoa; Arthropoda; Arachnida; Mesostigmata; Varroidae
Source: RefSeq, a predicted model, not a curated record